GUCUUUUUCUACAAUUUUCCCCUAUAUAAUCUAUAUAGUGUUUGCCAUAUUGUCUAUUCUUUAUGUUUUGGGACUAUGUUACUAUGUUCUUAAGUUUCUGUAUUCCUUAUUUUUUUUGUCCAUUUUUCUGUUUAUUAUUCACUAUUCUGUCAACCCCAUCCCGACCCUUAUGAAUACAUGUAUGAUUGGUACACUGUGAUACAUUGUUAGAUACUGUUUGUUGUUGGUUUUUAUGGAAACGUCUUAAUCAAUCUUAUUACAGAUUGUCUUAUGUCUUUAACAUAUAUAUAUUAAAAUCCUCUAAAAUGUGAAAAAUAACACCUUAUUGUUUUAGUUUACAGAAGGGGGUAUGGUAUGCACAAGUAAAACUGGUUAAAGCCAACCACAACUUAUCACAAAAAAUAGCCUAAAACUGUCAAUGUUAUGACUGGAAAAUACCUCAUGACUAUCUGGCGGUAUGGUUCAUGGUAAGAAGUCAUGAGGACAUGAUCAUGGAUUAGAAUUCGCAAAAUCGACCGACUACAGGCUAAAACAAUGCAUCUGGUGUACUAACAUGACUACUAUUCCUGUAAUGCGCUCAUCCACUAAUUCCGAGAUAGCCGAAGAUGUAUAUAAAAAGAAGAUGUGGUAUAAUUGCCAAUGAU
RNAcentral lists this long non-coding RNA (644 nucleotides) under Mytilus galloprovincialis (Mediterranean mussel). The record is from RNAcentral. Lineage: Eukaryota; Metazoa; Mollusca; Bivalvia; Mytilida; Mytilidae.